GUGCUCACUUUGGUAGCACAUAUACUAAAACUGGAAUGAUACAGAGAUUAGUAUGGCCUCUAUGCAAGGUGGACACACAAAUUCAUGAAACAUCCCAUAUUUUU
RNAcentral lists this small nuclear RNA (104 nucleotides) under Chinchilla lanigera (long-tailed chinchilla). Lineage: Eukaryota; Metazoa; Chordata; Mammalia; Rodentia; Chinchillidae. The record is from RNAcentral.